Small nucleolar RNA from Andrographis paniculata, 90 nucleotides. RefSeq annotates it as small nucleolar RNA Z221/R21b. The record is from RefSeq and is a predicted model, not a curated record. The transcript has a single exon. Lineage: Eukaryota; Viridiplantae; Streptophyta; Magnoliopsida; Lamiales; Acanthaceae.
GGGCGGUGAUGAGAAUCAUUUGAAAGUCAUGCACCACGCUGAUCUUAAUCGUGUGAUGAAAGAUUCUUUACCCAUAAAUUUUCUGAGCCC